RNAcentral lists this ribosomal RNA (468 nucleotides) under uncultured bacterium. RNAcentral's name for it is "partial 16S ribosomal RNA". It matches the Rfam family "Bacterial small subunit ribosomal RNA", at positions 28 to 507 of the family's 1533-position model. The record is from RNAcentral.
GACGAACGCUGGCGGCGUGCUUAACACAUGCAAGUCGAACGGAAAGGCCCUGCUUGUGUGGGGUGCUCGCGUGGCGAACGGGUGUGUAACACGUGAGUAAGCUGCCCUUGACUUUGGGAUAACUUCAGGAAGCUGCGGCUAAUACCGGAUAGGAGCUCCUGCUGCAUGGUGGGGGUUGGAACGUUUCGGCGGUUGUGGGUGGACUGGCGGCUAAUUAGCUUGUUGGUGGGGUAGCGGCUUAGCAAGGCUUUGAUGGGUAGCCGGCAUGAGAGGUGGACCGGCCACCUGAGUACUGAGGGACGGCGCAGAGGCGUAUAGGAGGCAGCAGGCGGGAGCAUUGCACAGUCGGCGGAAGUGUGAUGAAACAGCGCCCCGUGCGGGAAGACGGCCUUCGGGGGGUAAAGCGCUUUAAGCUGUGACGAAGCGUGUGUGACGGUAAUGAGAGAAGAAGCACCGGCUAACUACGUG